Molecule: ribosomal RNA, 436 nt
Filed under: uncultured bacterium
Lineage: Bacteria
Description: bacterial SSU rRNA
Rfam family: Bacterial small subunit ribosomal RNA
Source: RNAcentral
AACGCGAAGAACCUUACCCGGGGUUUAUAAGGGAUGGGUAAGGGUCAAGAAGGGCCCCCCCCCUUGUGGGCCGGUUCACAGGUGGUGCAUGGCUGUUGUCAGCUCGUGUCGUGAGAUGUUGGGUUAAGUCCCGCAACGAGCGCAACCCUCGUCCACUGUUGCCAGCAUUUGGUUGGGGACUCAGUGGAGACCGCCGGGGUCAACUCGGAGGAAGGUGGGGAUGACGUCAAGUCAUCAUGCCCCUUAUGUCCAGGGCUUCACGCAUGCUACAAUGGCCGGUACAAAGAGUGGCGACAUCGUGAGGUGGAGCGAAUCUCAGAAAGCCGGUCUCAGUUCGGAUUGGGGUCUGCAACUCGACCCCAUGAAGUCGGAGUCGCUAGUAAUCGCAGAUCAACCACCCUCCCGGUAAAUACUUUCCCGGGUCUUGUACACACCG